RNAcentral lists this long non-coding RNA (376 nucleotides) under Gossypium barbadense (sea-island cotton). Its description in RNAcentral is "long non-coding RNA (GBAR_LNC012010)". Lineage: Eukaryota; Viridiplantae; Streptophyta; Magnoliopsida; Malvales; Malvaceae. The record is from RNAcentral.
GCAUCUUCACCCUUUCAAUUCUCCACUCCAGUUCUCACUCUCCUAUUAUCAUCGCCGUCGUUACGAAAAUCCCCUUGUCUUCCUUUCCAUCCUUCAUUAUUCUCGCCGCCCCUUACUCAGAAGACCCUCACUUUCUCGACUGGGACUAGAGCCGUUUCGGGUUCCGGAAAAUCCCCUGGUCUUCCUUUCCAUCCUUCAUUAUUCUCGCCGCCCCUUACUCAGAAGACACUCACUUUCUCGACUGGGACUAGAGCCGUUUCGGGGUCCGGGAAGUUCUGUUGGAGAGCCAAGGCGUCGAUGUCCGGGACCACCAUGGAGAAAGGGAAAGGGAAAGUCGAAGUUUUUGAUUCCAAGGAGAAUCUUUCGGUUUCGCUCG